UGGGGAAUUUUGGACAAUGGGCGAAAGCCUGAUCCAGCAAUGCCGCGUGCGUGAAGAAGGCCUUCGGGUUGUAAAGCACUUUUUGUCCGGAAAGAAAUCCUUGGCUCUAAUACAGUCGGGGGAUGACGGUACCGGAAGAAUAAGCACCGGCUAACUACGUGCCAGCAGCCGCGGUAAUACGUAGGGUGCAAGCGUUAAUCGGAAUUACUGGGCGUAAAGCGUGCGCAGGCGGUUUGCUAAGACCGAUGUGAAAUCCCCGGGCUCAACCUGGGAACUGCAUUGGUGACUGGCAGGCUAGAGUAUGGCAGAGGGGGGUAGAAUUCCACGUGUAGCAGUGAAAUGCGUAGAGAUGUGGAGGAAUACCGAUGGCGAAGGCAGCCCCCUGGGCCAAUACUGACGCUCAUGCACGAAAGCGUGGGGAGCAAACAGGAUUAGAUACCCUGGUAGUCCACGCCCUAAACGAUGUCAACUAGUUGUUGGGGAUUCAUUUCCUUAGUAACGUAGCUAACGCGUGAAGUUGACCGCCUGGGGAGUACGGUCGCAAGAUUAAAACUCAAAUGAAUUGACGGGGUCAUAGCUGUUUCCU
This 586-nucleotide ribosomal RNA is filed under the name uncultured bacterium. RNAcentral describes it as "partial 16S ribosomal RNA". It matches the Rfam family "Bacterial small subunit ribosomal RNA", at positions 355 to 1375 of the family's 1533-position model. The record is from RNAcentral.